This is a non-coding RNA of Camellia sinensis, 444 nucleotides long. Lineage: Eukaryota; Viridiplantae; Streptophyta; Magnoliopsida; Ericales; Theaceae. The record is from RefSeq and is a predicted model, not a curated record.
GCAAAGUCCUUGGAUCAUCCCAAACCUUUCCUGCACUCUGCAUAAGAUUGAGACACGUGGUAUCUAACAGAUCCAACCAUUCCAGAAGAAAACACGUCGUGCAGACCUCCUCAAUAGAAAAAACGGUUGCCAAUCUUCCCAUACUACGCCUUUAAAUCCAGAACAUCUUGGAGGUCAAUGAAGAUUGUUAGAAGUGAAAGAUUGUUGAUGACGGGCUACUGAUGAAUUAAAUUAUACUGUAACUAUCAAAUGUGUGUGUUUUUUUUUCUUUUUUUUGCGGAGAUUACAAUUUGGAAAUUUUUAUUGCCAAUUUUGAUUGGGAGAAUUUUUUUUUUUUUUAUCAAUUUGGAUUGUGAACAUUUUCAUUGUUAUAUGAUGGAUUGAAUCCUAAAAAAUUGAUUUUGGGAUAGAGCCUAAACCCAACAUUUGGUAUACCUGAAUCAA